UACGAAGGGGGCUAGCGUUGCUCGGAAUCACUGGGCGUAAAGCGCACGUAGGCGGCUUGUUAAGUCAGGGGUGAAAUCCUGGAGCUCAACUCCAGAACUGCCUUUGAUACUGGCGAGCUUGAGUCCGGGAGAGGUGAGUGGAACUGCGAGUGUAGAGGUGAAAUUCGUAGAUAUUCGCAAGAACACCAGUGGCGAAGGCGGCUCACUGGCCCGGUACUGACGCUGAGGUGCGAAAGCGUGGGGAGCAAACCGG
RNAcentral lists this ribosomal RNA (253 nucleotides) under uncultured bacterium. Its description in RNAcentral is "partial 16S ribosomal RNA". It matches the Rfam family "Bacterial small subunit ribosomal RNA", at positions 524 to 776 of the family's 1533-position model. The record is from RNAcentral.